Molecule: long non-coding RNA, 393 nt
Organism: Cotesia glomerata
Lineage: Eukaryota; Metazoa; Arthropoda; Insecta; Hymenoptera; Braconidae
Exons: 3
Source: RefSeq, a predicted model, not a curated record
GUCGCCGAAUCUUUCACCAGGUUGAAUGCCCUCAGUUGCCCAAAACUCAUCAGCAGUUCCUUCACCUGUAUAUAAAAAUACCAUUAAUAAUUCUAUCGGGUUUCCACCUAACGGUUGACUAAUUGGAAAUUAUAAUUAUUCAUUAUUUAAAACAAUCCCUUCACAAUCAUCCGUUCUUGAUUACAAGUCUCAUCUUUUCAUUUCUUCUUCAUUACCAAAUACUUACCGACACUGUAAUCACCGUAUCUUUACCUCUCUCUCUAGGGAUUUAAUUGCUAAUUUUUACAAUCAUUUUCUUUAAGCGAUUUCUAAUAAGAAUAACAGCACGUUGCCUACAACGUGUGAAUUUAAAAUAAUUUAAUAUCCGGUAAAUUAAUUUGAUAAAUUAUUUAA